AGAUGGAUCAAAGUUGAUGCUCGUGGAGUAAAAUAAUCAAACACCUUGCUGUUCAUCUUAGAAUAAGAAUGUGGAUAAAGGUGGAGCAAUCUGGAGUUGACUGGCAGAUGAGUAUUCUGCUACCUGGCAUCGCAUUAACGGGAGGUCAGUAUGCAAGAGACGGAAUGUUCUUUCGGAAUCGAGAUGUCUUUGAAGGAAGAGAUGGUUAUCAUCAGCAUUAGAUGCUCCAUCUGACGCCCACCUUCAAUGGCGUGGCUGCCCAUGUCGCCUGGCGGUAGGUUAGGAAGCAGCAGCAGCAGUCAUAUAAUUUGAUGGUGCCCUCCUCACUUUCCUAAUCGUCAUCAAACAAUUCAGCACCACUUGUCUCAGUCCUUUGGGGAAGCAGAUGAAGUGAAAGAGACAGACAUGCAUGUAGUCAUCUUUUUGACCCGUCGCAGAAGGCCUACAAGAAGGCGGCUCGGCAGCAGAGUCGGUGGCGAUUCCGCAGACACAUAUUUGAGGAAACGUCUCAGAGAAAAUCUCUGCAAAGAUGAGCAGCAGACUCGUCCACCACAGCAGCAGCAGGAAAAAGGAGGAGGGGUUAGCCCUUCGUCUCCAUAGUCGGCCUCCAAGUCCGUGAGGGGGACCAGCAGCCUCCAAUUGCAACAGCUGCCGUCGAGCGUCCUGCCUCCGGCUGCAAUGUGGGCGGUUGCCCCAAAUAACGGAGCUGGGCUCCGUUCUGGAUGCUCCCCGUCACGGCAGGAUCAGCGGGCCCAAGCACCACUACAGUUCAUGCCACAGCCAACGAGCGGCCUGGUGGCGCAGCAUCCUGGGCUGAGCACGUCGGAGACUAAUCGGCGGAUGCUCGCGGCAUUCAAUGCUUAUCGUAGAGGUGGUGGCCGGAGCAUGAAUUCUGAGCACCACCAGCCGAUGAAUCACCAUCACCUAGUCCAACCCCCUACCUGUCAUCAACAAGGUGCAGACAGCAGAGAAGACCACCAAACCAGCUCAGAAUGAAUCUGCAAGGACGACUACCGUGCAGCAGAUGAUUGCAUUCUCUAAAUUCUUUCUUCUGUUUCCUUUCUGAAGUCGGAGGACCAAAAGAUUACAAUUCAUUGGAGGCAGCAAGUACUAACAAAUCCACUGCUAGAGCAAUUCAGAAGAGGUAUUGAAGUUCCUCAGUGGUUGCUGUGGUCAAGCAAGAGGAUAAACAACAAAGCAUACAGAGAACUUUCAGCCUGUAAAAUCUCUCCCUCUUCCCUUUCCUCCUUCCAUCUUCCAUCUCUUAUUUCCUUCCUAGUGGCAACCAUGAGUGGCUGCUCAAGGAAAUUGCUGUAGUGCCUCCUCAUUCUCUAUCUUGUCCUUUAUGUACAGUUCAAAAGUCCUCAUCAUGUGACGCAGCUUUUCUAAUACCAACCACUAACUCAGUCUUAAGUUCCUUCUAAUUAACAUGAAAAGGUUUUUUUACUCCAAAGGCAGAUUGUGGCAGUAGAAUCCAUGGAUGACACCUUCACGAAUGGAAAUGAAGAUGUGGCUGCUCUAGAUGGCAUCGGUCGCAGUUCCAAGACCAGUAUGCAAACCUUCACUAUCUGUUUGUACAUGUGCGACCAAGACCAAUGCAUGCUAUAGAGGCCAUGUCUGCAAUUAAUGCAAAGAUAAUAAGAACAAAGAAGGCGUAACAAUGGCACAGUUCAAGUAGCACUUCUUCAUAGUAGUGCUGGCUUGAAUUCUAAGUGAAAGAUUAGGAUGAAGAAGUAAAUUGUAGGACAAAAGCAGUCUGCCUGCAGAAGUUUCAUGCCACACUGAGGAAACAUGGGUUUGGUGAUGAAGAUCUUUCAACCCAAAAACCUUGGCUGGAAAUGACGGUUGGGAAUGCACAUGCCUGUGCUGUGAUACACUCAUGCAUGAGGAGGCAGAGGUUGGUGGAGCUUUACAAUAUAAUUGAGACCCAUAUCAGUCGGAUUGGUUGGUGCGGUACCAAGUUUUUGGUUGAUUCCUCAUCUGGUAGGUUUCCACAAUGAAUGCCUUCUUUGUGUCUGGCCUAUGAUUGCAGCACUCGGUUUCAGAAAACAGAUGUUGGUGGAUGCAUUCUACAUAGUCGCAUGUAACUCAACCACAGAGAAUUGAACCCCUGGUGCAUCUGGUAACCUGUCAACACUUGCAUCAAACUGUGGCUGAUCCAAGGAACAAUGUUUUUGUACAUCAGCAGGAUCAUUUAUUUCCCAGUAUUAGCUUCUUGUCAUGGAUUGUUCUACCUUAUCAACCUCAUUAGCCUGCCUUCAAUAUAAGGUUGAGUUUGUGCAGGGGAAGCAAUCUGAAAGAUUCAUCAUGAGGGUCCUAAAUCAGAUGUGGCAGCAACCAUCAGCUUAAGUCCAAAUCUUUUUCAUGGAAAUCAAAAGCAAUCUCUUAUUUAUGCAUGCACCCACCUGGUGUACAGUAACUGAGGAGAAAAUUUUGGUUGAGACCUUGUGUCAUCAGCUGGUCUUCCCACAACAAUUAUUUGCUGCUACAAUGACCAGUGCAGUGACAGUCAAGAUAUUCUAGUUGUCCUUGGAAUGUGGGUAUAUAAUCCAUAAGCAGUCAACAACACAAACCAACCACAGUGAUUAGGUGAGGUAGAACCAAAGCCCCAACAGUCCUCUCCUCUCUCUAGAAGCCCUCCAACCCCCUAGCCUUCAUUGUGAUGAAUAAGGCAUGGUCCAUUUGGAUUGAGACCAUUGGGGAUGGUUCCAUCAACUGGCAUUCCUUUCCCAUCUUUCCUUGUUUCUUUCAGUCCUACAGAUUGAGAAGCUGGUGAAUGAGUCAAGAAAAGGUGGCUAAGCUCUGGAAGGAAGUAAAGAAACUUCUGGUGCCCUUCCUUCCUCUCUUAAGCUUAUUAGGAAGGUCAUGAAUGAGCCACUUGGUUCAGAGUAAAAGCUGUCAUCUUUUGAAUCUUGUAGGGUCACAUGUGCCAACUUUUCUUGUUUCCUUGAAGCUGGAUCACAGUCCAAUUGAUGGAUGGAUAUCUACAGGGAGACUGGAAGAGUGUACUGGUGCAGAUGGGCAUUGAGUGAGUGCAAGUACACAACCUGCUGCUGGAGUCAAGACUCUGGAACAUCUCAACAUAUCUGUCAUUACUUCCCUAACCUGUUGAUUGUUCUUGUCACCCCAUCUUUCUUCUCUUCUAACUUUCUAAGAUGCUUGAUUGCCUGGCCAGUAUGCAACAGUGACUGGUAGGUGAAAAGUAUAAUAAUGACCAUGACAUUGUGUUUCUGCCCCUGCUUAUUUCUAGAG
Musa acuminata subsp. malaccensis (wild Malaysian banana) is the source of this 3252-nucleotide non-coding RNA. Lineage: Eukaryota; Viridiplantae; Streptophyta; Magnoliopsida; Zingiberales; Musaceae. The record is from RefSeq and is a predicted model, not a curated record.